AGGCCUGUCACUUCCCGAUUGGUCCGCGGCCUAUCAGCUAGUUGGCGGGGUAAAAGCCCACCAAGGCAACGACGGGUAGCUGGUCUGAGAGGACGACCAGCCACACUGGAACUGAGACACGGUCCAGACACCUACGGGUGGCAGCAGUCGAGAAUCUUUCACAAUGGGGGAAACCCUGAUGGAGCGACGCCGCGUGGAGGAUAAGGUCUUCGGAUUGUAGACUCCUGUCAUGCGUGAACAAGGUAGCUAGGCUAAUAUCCUAUGCUAAUUGAUGGUAACGCAAGAGGAAGAGACGGCUAACUCUGUGCCAGCAGCCGCGGUAAUACAGAGGUCUCAAGCGUUGUUCGGAAUCACUGGGCGUAAAGGGUGCGUAGGUGGCGUGGUAAGUCAGAUGUGAAAGCCUGGGGCUCAACCUCAGAAUUGCAUCCGAUACUACCAUGCUUGAGUAUUGGAGAGGUGACU
RNAcentral lists this ribosomal RNA (462 nucleotides) under uncultured Nitrospira sp. Its description in RNAcentral is "bacterial SSU rRNA". It matches the Rfam family "Bacterial small subunit ribosomal RNA", at positions 205 to 662 of the family's 1533-position model. Lineage: Bacteria; Pseudomonadati; Nitrospirota; Nitrospiria; Nitrospirales; Nitrospiraceae. The record is from RNAcentral.